AUGUCGAGGAUCCUGAUGAAAGUCGGGAGUGCCCGUAAGGGAACUUGAACACAGGUGCUGCAUGGCUGUCGUCAGCUCGUGCCGUGAGGUGUUGGGUUAAGUCCCGCAACGAGCGCAACCCUCAUCCUUAGUUGCCAUCAUUAAGUUGGGCACCCUAAGGAAACUGCCGCAGUUAAUGCGGAGGAAGGUGGGGAUGACGUCAAGUCCUCAUGGCCCUUAUAUCCAGGGCUACACACGUGCUACAAUGGCCGGUACAAAGGGCAGCGACACAGCGAUGUGAAGCGAAUCCCGAAAAGCCGGUCUCAGUCCGGAUUGGAGUCUGCAACUCGACUCCAUGAAGUUGGAAUCGCUAGUAAUCGCGGAUCAGCACGCCGCGGUCGAAUACGUUCCCGGGCCUU
Molecule: ribosomal RNA, 398 nt
Filed under: uncultured Syntrophorhabdus sp.
Lineage: Bacteria; Pseudomonadati; Thermodesulfobacteriota; Syntrophorhabdia; Syntrophorhabdales; Syntrophorhabdaceae
Description: bacterial SSU rRNA
Rfam family: Bacterial small subunit ribosomal RNA
Source: RNAcentral